RNAcentral lists this ribosomal RNA (309 nucleotides) under Triticum aestivum (bread wheat). RNAcentral describes it as "partial small subunit ribosomal RNA". Lineage: Eukaryota; Viridiplantae; Streptophyta; Magnoliopsida; Poales; Poaceae. The record is from RNAcentral.
AUGUUUGGCAUACAAUCUUUGUAUGAUGAGCAUGAUUGCAAUGUUGUUAGUAUGAACUCUUUGAAUAUCCAUAGUACUAAUGAUGAUUGCACUAGUCAUGAUAAAAAUGUCUCUUAUAAGCAUGUCAACUUUUGUGGAGUGCAUAGAGUUCGCAAGUACACACCAAAUAGGGAAGAUAGAUUUUGCAAGCGGCAUAAGUAUUUAGAAACUAAAUGGUUGCAAGAAAGGUUAGAUGUUUGUGCUGAAAAUUUAAAUUUUCUUAGCCAUCAUUGUGAACUUUGCAAUGAAUGUGGUCAUUUAAAUAUCUGA